RNAcentral lists this ribosomal RNA (460 nucleotides) under uncultured bacterium. Its description in RNAcentral is "partial 16S ribosomal RNA". It matches the Rfam family "Bacterial small subunit ribosomal RNA", at positions 338 to 795 of the family's 1533-position model. The record is from RNAcentral.
CCUACGGGUGGCUGCAGUGAGGAAUAUUGGUCAAUGGGCGUAAGCCUGAACCAGCCAAGUCGCGUGAGGGAUGAAGGUUCUAUGGAUCGUAAACCUCUUUUAUAAGGGAAUAAAGUGUGGGACGUGUCCUGUUUUGUAUGUACCUUAUGAAUAAGGAUCGGCUAACUCCGUGCCAGCAGCCGCGGUAAUACGGAGGAUCCGAGCGUUAUCCGGAUUUAUUGGGUUUAAAGGGUGCGUAGGUGGCUUGUUAAGUCAGCGGUGAAAGUCUGUGGCUCAACCAUAGAAUUGCAGUUGAAACUGGGAGGCUUGAGUACAGUAGAGGCGGGCGGAAUGCGUGGUGUAGCGGUGAAAGGCUUAGAUAUCACGAAGAACCCCGAUUGCGAAGGCAGCUCACCAGACUGUAACUGACGCUGAGGCACGAAAGCGUGGGUAUCAAACAGGAUUAGAUACCCGGGUAGUC